Molecule: microRNA, 21 nt
Filed under: Alligator mississippiensis (American alligator)
Lineage: Eukaryota; Metazoa; Chordata; Crocodylia; Alligatoridae
Description: ami-miR-1416-5p
Source: miRBase by way of RNAcentral
UCCUUAACUCAUACCGCUGUG